Molecule: unclassified non-coding RNA, 150 nt
Filed under: Chloridium humicola
Lineage: Eukaryota; Fungi; Ascomycota; Sordariomycetes; Chaetosphaeriales; Chaetosphaeriaceae
Also listed under: 1 other name
Description: Pseudophialocephala humicola partial internal transcribed spacer 2
Source: RNAcentral
CAACCCCUCAGGCCCUGCCUGGCGUUGGAGGACUGCGCUACGCAGCCUCCCAAAGCAAGCGGCGGCGGCGCCCCAAAUCCGAACGCAGUAGUUACCUCUCGUUCUGGGUGCUGGGACGGCGUCCGGCCGGAAAACCCCCAUCUAUAUCGU